UACGUAGGGGGCAAGCGUUGUCCGGAAUCAUUGGGCGUAAAGAGCGUGUAGGCGGCUUUACAGGUCCGUUGUGAAAACUCGAGGCUCAACCUCGAGACGCCGGUGGAAACCGUAAGGCUAGAGUCCGGAAGAGGAGAGUGGAAUUCCUGGUGUAGCGGUGAAAUGCGCAGAUAUCAGGAAGAACACCCGUGGCGAAGGCGGCUCUCUGGGACGGUACUGACGCUGAGACGCGAAAGCGUGGGGAGCGAACAGG
This 253-nucleotide ribosomal RNA is filed under the name uncultured bacterium. RNAcentral's name for it is "partial 16S ribosomal RNA". It matches the Rfam family "Bacterial small subunit ribosomal RNA", at positions 524 to 776 of the family's 1533-position model. The record is from RNAcentral.